GAUUGAACGCUGGCGGCAUGCUUUACACAUGCAAGUCGAACGGCAGCGCGGGCUUCGGCCUGGCGGCGAGUGGCGAACGGGUGAGUAAUACAUCGGAACAUGCCCACUUGUGGGGGAUAGCUCGGCGAAAGCCGGAUUAAUACCGCAUGAGAUCUACGGAUGAAAGCAGGGGACCUUCGGGCCUUGCGCGAGUGGAGUGGCCGAUGGCAGAUUAGGUAGUUGGUGGGGUAAAGGCCUACCAAGCCUGCGAUCUGUAGCUGGUCUGAGAGGACGACCAGCCACACUGGGACUGAGACACGGCCCAGACUCCUACGGGAGGCAGCAGUGGGGAAUUUUGGACAAUGGGCGCAAGCCUGAUCCAGCAAUGCCGCGUGCAGGACGAAGGCCCUCGGGUUGUAAACUGCUUUUGUACAGAACGAAAAGAGCUGGGUUAAUACCCUGGUUUUAUGACGGUACUGUAAGAAUAAGCACCGGCUAACUACGU
This 484-nucleotide ribosomal RNA is filed under the name Burkholderiales bacterium 'ARUP UnID 671'. RNAcentral describes it as "bacterial SSU rRNA". It matches the Rfam family "Bacterial small subunit ribosomal RNA", at positions 27 to 506 of the family's 1533-position model. The record is from RNAcentral. Lineage: Bacteria; Pseudomonadati; Pseudomonadota; Betaproteobacteria; Burkholderiales.